CGCGCAUUCAGCCGGUCUCAUAGGAAAGCAUUUACAAUGCUUUCCUAUGGACGCUGGCGUGCUCUCACUGUGAAAAUCACAGUGAGAAGCACGCAAGCGCCUCUAGUGGCUGUCAAUGAGACAGCCACUAGAGGAUUAGGGGGAAGGAUUAACCCAUUUAUAAACAUAGCAGUUUCUCUGAAACUGCUAGGUUUAUUAAAAAAUGGGUUAACCCUAGCUGGACCAGGCACCCAGAC
Molecule: non-coding RNA, 236 nt
Organism: Pelobates cultripes (western spadefoot toad)
Lineage: Eukaryota; Metazoa; Chordata; Amphibia; Anura; Pelobatidae
Source: the annotation of a GenBank genome assembly